This 1435-nucleotide long non-coding RNA is filed under the name Pandoravirus celtis. RNAcentral describes it as "hypothetical ncRNA". The record is from RNAcentral.
CGCCUCCCGAGUUCAACUCGCCUCCCCAGCCGGCCAGGUCGAUCGUACGGCCAUCCACAAAGAACAAGCGCCCUUUGCGCUUCUUACGAUCUGUUGCACACACGUCGCCGUCAUAGAUCACCGUGCCGUCUUGGGCCAUGAGUCGGCCUGCCACGGGUUGAAACCUGCUCACCUCGCCGGCAAAGGCGACCGUGCCGUCGACGGUGCGCGCGACCCCCAUUGUCGCGCCCCUGUCGCCCAUGCCUCCCCCAGUGCCCACGCCGGCAUUCGGGUGGUCUUUGUGGGCGACGACGCUCCACUUGCGGUUUCCACAUUCCACCACUGACGGCGCAUGGCAGGAGGGCUGAGGGUAAUUGUAGUCGGGUCCGAUAAGGAUGCCGAUUCCGUGUGGACACCCGCCUGCCCAUGGACCCUGAUAGAAUCCCACACAUUGGUUGCGAUAGUCGGUCGGAGGCCGAGGGUCACAGUCGCGUGGACUGCACCACGCAACGGCGCGCCCGGCCAGGCGGCCGUGCGCCCAUUGUCCGCUGGGGCUGUGCGCCACGAUGGUGCGAUCUGUGGUCGACCCUGGCGGCAGAAACUGUAUGGCGUCGGCCGUAGCGUAACCGUGCGCCACGUGUGUAUCGCGUCUUCCAUCGGCGAGGUCGCCGCGGUAGAUGGUGUUGAGCGAGCACGAGCGUCCGACGAGGCACGAUGGUGAGCCGUCCAGGUGUGGUCCAAAGAAUCGUGGUCGGCUCACGGUGGCCACGGCAUAGGCCCAGCGGUAGCCGCGCGCAGUGAUGACAUCGGGCCAGUGAUGGUGGCACGACAAAAGUGCGGGGUUGUGAAUUCGGCCCAACCCCGAGACCGACUCUGGCAAGGGAAGCACACAGCCCGUGGUCGUCUUGGUCGGGUCGAGCAUGAGAUCCAAACCUCGGUCGACGAGAGCCGCAAUGUCCAAACCGGCGACGCUUUUGCCCAGUGUUGCGAUGCAACCGCGGCCACAGGACGGAAAGGCCGUAUCGUAGAUGUCCUUCCACAGGCGCUCGUCGAGGGCGAGACGGCGGAGGCGCCAGUCGACCGCGCUUAAUGUGGCCAAGUCGGCGGGCGUACACCAGGAGAGGAUGGCCAUCGCAUGCUCAUCGGCCAAUAGGCCCCAUACAUUGAUGCCAGCCACCGCUGGACUCGCUAGGUCAUCUGUGCGGCGCCUUUUGUUCCCACGCACGUUGGCAUUGUUCGAGUCCAUUGUUGGUGUGGGUUCUAGUGUCCUCGCUGUAUGCUGGGCGCAAGCGGGCCGACACUGCACGGUGCCUCGUGCAAAACACGGAUUGGUUGCCAAUAGACAGAAAAAAAGGACCAAUCGGCAAUAAAUAACGUCCACCAAACCCAAAAGGAAAUCAACGGUGUAUGAAAAAAAAGGCAAAAGGAGUCGACUAAAAAGGGGGCCACCAAGAUU